RNAcentral lists this ribosomal RNA (259 nucleotides) under uncultured bacterium. Its description in RNAcentral is "partial small subunit ribosomal RNA". It matches the Rfam family "Bacterial small subunit ribosomal RNA", at positions 26 to 285 of the family's 1533-position model. The record is from RNAcentral.
AGAAUCAACGCUGGCGGCGUGCCUAACACAUGCAAGUCGAACGAGAAAGUGGAGCAAUCCAUGAGUAAAGUGGCGACCGGGUGAGUAACACGUGACUAACCUACCUUCGAGUGGGGGAUAACCUCGGGAAACCGGGGCUAAUACCGCAUAACAUCUUUGGAGUGGAAAUUCUGGAGAUCAAAGGAGCAAUUCGCUGGAAGAGGGGGUCGCGGCUGAUUAGCUAGUUGGCGGGUAACGGCCACCAAGGCAAAGAUCGGUA